CCCUUAGAUGUUCUGGGCCGCACGCGCGCUACACUGAUGCAUUCAACGAGUCUAAAACCUGGUCUGAUAGGGCUGGGUAAUCUUUUGAAUGUGCAUCGUGAUUGGGAUAGACUAUUGCAAUUAUUGGUCUUCAACGAGGAAUUCCUAGUAGACGUAGUUCAUCAGACUGCAUCGAUUACGUCCCUGCCCUUUGUACACACCGCCCGUCGCUCCUACCGAUUGAAUGCUCAGGUGAGCCAUUCGGACUUUCAUCAUGCUGGUUUCCAGUUUUGAUGAAGGAAAGUCUUGCGAACCUUAUCAUUUAGAGGAAGGAGAAGUCGUAACA
RNAcentral lists this ribosomal RNA (325 nucleotides) under uncultured eukaryote. Its description in RNAcentral is "partial 18S ribosomal RNA". It matches the Rfam family "Eukaryotic small subunit ribosomal RNA", at positions 1470 to 1796 of the family's 1831-position model. The record is from RNAcentral.